RNAcentral lists this ribosomal RNA (324 nucleotides) under uncultured bacterium. RNAcentral's name for it is "bacterial SSU rRNA". It matches the Rfam family "Bacterial small subunit ribosomal RNA", at positions 28 to 334 of the family's 1533-position model. The record is from RNAcentral.
GAUGAACGCUGGCGGCGUGCUUAACACAUGCAAGUCGAGCGAAGCGCUCACGCGGAAUUUUUCGAAAGGAAGCGGGAGUGACUUAGCGGCGGACGGGUGAGUAACGCGUGGGUAACCUGCCCCAUACCGGGGGAUAACGGUUAGAAAUGACCGCUAAUACCGCGUAAGCGCGCGAGGCCGCAUGGCCCCGGGCGAAAAACUCCGGUGGUAUGGGAUGGGCCCGCGUCUGAUUAGCUAGUUGGCGGGGUAAAGGCCCACCAAGGCGACGAUCAGUAGCCGACCUGAGAGGGUGGCCGGCCACAUUGGGACUGAGACACGGCCCAA